UGGGGAAUAUUGCACAAUGGGCGAAAGCCUGAUGCAGCGACGCCGCGUGAGGGAUGACGGCCUUCGGGUUGUAAACCUCUUUCAGCAGGGACGAAGCGCAAGUGACGGUACCUGCAGAAGAAGCACCGGCUAACUACGUGCCAGCAGCCGCGGUAAUACGUAGGGUGCAAGCGUUGUCCGGAAUUACUGGGCGUAAAGAGUUCGUAGGCGGUUUGUCGCGUCGUUUGUGAAAACCAGCAGCUCAACUGCUGGCUUGCAGGCGAUACGGGCAGACUUGAGUACUGCAGGGGAGACUGGAAUUCCUGGUGUAGCGGUGAAAUGCGCAGAUAUCAGGAGGAACACCGGUGGCGAAGGCGGGUCUCUAGGCAGUAACUGACGCUGAGGAACGAAAGCGUGGGUAGCGAACAGG
This 409-nucleotide ribosomal RNA is filed under the name bacterium. Its description in RNAcentral is "partial 16S ribosomal RNA". It matches the Rfam family "Bacterial small subunit ribosomal RNA", at positions 355 to 776 of the family's 1533-position model. The record is from RNAcentral.